This is a long non-coding RNA of Cyprinus carpio carpio, 846 nucleotides long. The record is from Ensembl. Lineage: Eukaryota; Metazoa; Chordata; Actinopteri; Cypriniformes; Cyprinidae.
GUCGAGAUAUGUUUUCGAUUGUGCAAUUUCACAUAACAGAAUGCGGCUGAAAUGCAAAAAUCGCAACAAUGGAGGUGGGGAGAAGCAAUGGCUUUUUCUUCUCUUAUCGAAAUUGCUUUCUGUAGAGUUGUUCCAUUUGAAAUGCAUUUAAUUGCAAAUAAAAAAAGGAGUGGAGAGAAAGCCGUGCGCCUCCUAAGCCUUUCUCAUCUGUUUGGAAGCAGGGAGAGAGAGUAUUCAAACGUGCAGCGGCCCAGACAAUAAGAAGAAGCGGGCGUGCUCUGAAUAGCCCAAUCUCUGUCCGCUGGAAAACAGGGCGGACCUCCCUCCAAAACAGAGAAGGCGCUCAGAAAAGAAUUUUAGAAGCAUCUGAGACAAAGUUGAGACUUCAUAGACACAGUAUUGAAUCUCCAAAGGAAUUGAUUGGAUCAUGAAAAGUAGCCUUUACAGUGGAGUACAGUGGCUGGUGGAGUUUAAGAAGCAUUUGUGACUUCGACAGAGAAGCUCUGGCCCGACCCGUCCUGCUGAAGUCUGAAGGAGGAACAGGAAGAUGCUCCAGACCCCGCUGGCAUUUCUGCCUUUGUUUUCAGCAUCAUGAUCUCACAGUGUUGAGGAAUAUACUGCGUUUAGACCAGACCUCAGCUGACGGAAACCCUUCACCUCUAUGCUAAUCACCCAGAGCUCCUUCAAUACCUCAUCUGCAUUUCAUUCUCUGCUUUUGUCUAGUUCAAGAAGAGACUUGUUUCAUUUAAAAAACCUUCUGAUGGACUCCCGAUAACACUGAACAUUAAAAUCUAUUAAUGGUUGGCUGUAAGUUACCUUAUCAUAUGGUGAAAUAAAUGAUACAAG